Molecule: long non-coding RNA, 118 nt
Organism: Nematolebias whitei (Rio pearlfish)
Lineage: Eukaryota; Metazoa; Chordata; Actinopteri; Cyprinodontiformes; Rivulidae
Exons: 3
Source: RefSeq, a predicted model, not a curated record
AGGCGUUGCACCACAGAACGUGGCCUACGGCCGAGCGCUGCCUCUUAAAAGUGUUGGAGUAAAACCUGGAGUUACUGGAGCCCUUGGAGCACUGGGCAGCAGAUAUAACACAAAAGCC